Molecule: ribosomal RNA, 434 nt
Filed under: uncultured Clostridium sp.
Lineage: Bacteria; Bacillati; Bacillota; Clostridia; Eubacteriales; Clostridiaceae
Description: partial 16S ribosomal RNA
Rfam family: Bacterial small subunit ribosomal RNA
Source: RNAcentral
ACGGGAGGCAGCAGUGGGGAAUAUUGGACAAUGGGGGCAACCCUGAUCCAGCGACGCCGCGUGAGUGAAGAAGUAUUUCGGUAUGUAAAGCUCUAUCAGCAGGGAAGAUGAUGACGGUACCUGACUAAGAAGCCCCGGCUAACUACGUGCCAGCAGCCGCGGUAAUACGUAGGGGGCAAGCGUUAUCCGGAUUUACUGGGUGUAAAGGGAGCGUAGGCGGUCAGACAAGUCAGAUGUGAAAGCCCGGGGCUCAACUCCGGGACUGCAUUUGAAACUGUAGGACUAGAGUACUGGAGAGGCAAGCGGAAUUCCUAGUGUAGCGGUGAAAUGCGUAGAUAUUAGGAGGAACACCAGUGGCGAAGGCGGCUUACUGGACUGUAACUGACGUUGAGGCUCGAAAGCGUGGGGAGCAAACAGGAUUAGAUACCCUGGUA